GAAGAUAAACCAGUUCAUGAAUCAGAAAAUUUACGUUUUUUCCCCUACGCUGACCACAAUGAUAAACCAGCCCAUGAAUCAGAAAAUUUACCAGCCCAUGAAUCAGAAAAUUUACGUUUUUUCCCCUACGCUGACCACAAGGAUAAACCAACCCAUGAAUCAGAAAAUUUACCAGCCCAUGAAUCAGAAAAUUUACCAGUCCAUGAAUCAGGACCGGAAAAUUCACGCAUUUUUCUCUAUCACAAGGAUAAACCAGCCCAUGAUUCAGAAAAUUUACCAGCCCAUGAAUCAGGACCGGAAAAUUCACGCAUUUUUCUCUAUCACAAGGAUAAACCAGCCCAUGAAUCAGAAAAUUUACCAGUCCAUGAAUCAAGACCGGAAAAUUCACGCAUUUUUCUCUAUCACAAGGAUAAACCAGCCCAUGAUUCAGAAAAUUUACCAGCCCAUGAAUCAGGACCGGAAAAUUCACGCAUUUUUCUCUAUCACAAGGAUAAACCAGCCCAUGAAUCAGAAAAUUUACCAGCCCAUGAAUCAGGACAGGAAAAUUCACGCAUUUUUCUCUAUCACAAGGAUAAACCAGCCCAU
This 585-nucleotide long non-coding RNA is filed under the name Panax ginseng (ginseng). RNAcentral describes it as "long non-coding RNA (PGIN_LNC004284)". Lineage: Eukaryota; Viridiplantae; Streptophyta; Magnoliopsida; Apiales; Araliaceae. The record is from RNAcentral.